AAAGAAUCAAAAAGAAGAAAGUCAAAAGAAAGAAACAAAAGAAAAUAGCACCCUCAAAGUCCCAAGUUGGCUGAUGCUGAAUUCAAUCGAAAAGAAGAGAUUAACUGCCAUGUGUCAUGGUCGGUUAUAUCGGCAGAGAGUGAAAAAAGCACGCGAUAAAAGGGUCAAGUCUUGUGUGUUCCGAGGGACCUUGUGCUCAAGAAAGUCUUGUCUUUCG
Molecule: long non-coding RNA, 217 nt
Filed under: Lathyrus oleraceus (garden pea)
Lineage: Eukaryota; Viridiplantae; Streptophyta; Magnoliopsida; Fabales; Fabaceae
Description: Pisum sativum (pea) long non-coding RNA (PSAT_LNC018198)
Source: RNAcentral